This 253-nucleotide ribosomal RNA is filed under the name uncultured bacterium. Its description in RNAcentral is "partial 16S ribosomal RNA". It matches the Rfam family "Bacterial small subunit ribosomal RNA", at positions 524 to 776 of the family's 1533-position model. The record is from RNAcentral.
UACAGAGGGUGCGAGCGUUGUCCGGAAUCACUGGGCGUAAAGGGCGCGUAGGCGGCCUGAUAAGUAGGGGGUGAAAUCUUGCGGCUCAACCGCAAGGCUGCCUUCUAAACUGUCAGGCUGGAGCACGGUAGAGGCAGAUGGAAUUCCCGGUGUAGCGGUGGAAUGCGUAGAGAUCGGGAAGAACACCAGUGGCGAAGGCGGUCUGCUGGGCCGUUGCUGACGCUGAGGCGCGACAGCGUGGGGAGCGAACAGG